AACGAACGCUGGCGGCAGGCCUAACACAUGCAAGUCGAACGCCCCUUCGGGGGAGUGGCAGACGGGUGAGUAACGCGUGGGAACCUUCCCUGUGGUACGGAAUAGCUCCGGGAAACUGGAAUUAAUACCGUAUACGCCCUUCGGGGGAAAGAUUUAUCGCCAUAGGAUGGGCCCGCGUCGGAUUAGCUUGUUGGUGAGGUAACGGCUCACCAAGGCUACGAUCCGUAGCUGGUCUUAGAGGAUGAUCAGCCACACUGGGACUGAGACACGGCCCAGACUCCUACGGGAGGCAGCAGUGGGGAAUAUUGGACAAUGGGCGCAAGCCUGAUCCAGCCAUGCCGCGUGAGUGACGAAGGCCUUAGGGUUGUAAAGCUCUUUUGGCGGGGACGAUAAUGACGGUACCCGCAGAAUAAGCCCCGGCUAACUUCGUGCCAGCCGCGCGGUAAU
RNAcentral lists this ribosomal RNA (447 nucleotides) under uncultured bacterium. RNAcentral's name for it is "bacterial SSU rRNA". It matches the Rfam family "Bacterial small subunit ribosomal RNA", at positions 29 to 524 of the family's 1533-position model. The record is from RNAcentral.